Molecule: ribosomal RNA, 428 nt
Filed under: Bacteroidota bacterium
Lineage: Bacteria; Pseudomonadati; Bacteroidota
Description: Bacteroidetes bacterium partial 16S ribosomal RNA
Rfam family: Bacterial small subunit ribosomal RNA
Source: RNAcentral
UAGGGAAUCUUCGGCAAUGGGGGGAACCCUGACCGAGCAACGCCGCGUGAGUGAAGAAGGUUUUCGGAUCGUAAAGCUCUGUUGUUAAGGAAGAACGAGUGUGAGAAUGAAAGUUCAUACUGUGACGGUACUUAACCAGAAAGGGACGGCUAACUACGUGCCAGCAGCCGCGGUAAUACGUAGGUCCCGAGCGUUGUCCGGAUUUAUUGGGCGUAAAGCGAGCGCAGGCGGUUAGAUAAGUCUGAAGUUAAAGGCAGUGGCUCAACCAUUGUAGGCUUUGGAAACUGUUUAACUUGAGUGCAGAAGGGGAGAGUGGAAUUCCAUGUGUAGCGGUGAAAUGCGUAGAUAUAUGGAGGAACACCGGUGGCGAAAGCGGCUCUCUGGUCUGUAACUGACGCUGAGGCUCGAAAGCGUGGGGAGCGAACAGG